Molecule: ribosomal RNA, 529 nt
Filed under: Nocardia nova
Lineage: Bacteria; Bacillati; Actinomycetota; Actinomycetes; Mycobacteriales; Nocardiaceae
Description: bacterial SSU rRNA
Rfam family: Bacterial small subunit ribosomal RNA
Source: RNAcentral
UAACACGUGGGUGAUCUGCCUCGCACUCUGGGAUAAGCCUGGGAAACUGGGUCUAAUACCGGAUAUGACCACGAAUCGCAUGGUUUGUGGUGGAAAGAUUUAUCGGUGCGAGAUGGGCCCGCGGCCUAUCAGCUUGUUGGUGGGGUAAUGGCCUACCAAGGCGACGACGGGUAGCCGACCUGAGAGGGUGACCGGCCACACUGGGACUGAGACACGGCCCAGACUCCUACGGGAGGCAGCAGUGGGGAAUAUUGCACAAUGGGCGGAAGCCUGAUGCAGCGACGCCGCGUGAGGGAUGACGGCCUUCGGGUUGUAAACCUCUUUCGACAGGGACGAAGCGCAAGUGACGGUACCUGUAGAAGAAGCACCGGCCAACUACGUGCCAGCAGCCGCGGUAAUACGUAGGGUGCGAGCGUUGUCCGGAAUUACUGGGCGUAAAGAGCUUGUAGGCGGUUCGUCGCGUCGAUUGUGAAAACUUGCAGCUCAACUGCAAGCUUGCAGUCGAUACGGGCGGACUAGAGUACUUCAG